CCUACGGGUGGCAGCAGUGGGGAAUAUUGGACAAUGGGGGGAACCCUGAUCCAGCCAUGCCGCGUGUGUGAAGAAGGCCCUCGGGUUGUAAAGCACUUUCAGUGAGGAAGAACGCCUGGUGGUUAAUACCCAUCAGGAAAGACAUCACUCACAGAAGAAGCACCGGCUAACUCCGUGCCAGCAGCCGCGGUAAUACGGAGGGUGCGAGCGUUAAUCGGAAUUACUGGGCGUAAAGCGCGCGUAGGUGGCUUGAUAAGCCGGUUGUGAAAGCCCCGGGCUCAACCUGGGAACGGCAUCCGGAACUGUCAAGCUAGAGUGCAGGAGAGGAAGGUAGAAUUCCCGGUGUAGCGGUGAAAUGCGUAGAGAUCGGGAGGAAUACCAGUGGUGAAGGCGGCCUUCUGGACUGACACUGACACUGAGGUGCGAAAGCGUGGGUAGCAAACAGGAUUAGAUACCCGGGUAGUC
Molecule: ribosomal RNA, 465 nt
Filed under: Vreelandella stevensii
Lineage: Bacteria; Pseudomonadati; Pseudomonadota; Gammaproteobacteria; Oceanospirillales; Halomonadaceae
Description: partial 16S ribosomal RNA
Rfam family: Bacterial small subunit ribosomal RNA
Source: RNAcentral